RNAcentral lists this long non-coding RNA (535 nucleotides) under Homo sapiens (human). RNAcentral's name for it is "non-protein coding lnc-SMOC1-2:6". Lineage: Eukaryota; Metazoa; Chordata; Mammalia; Primates; Hominidae. The record is from RNAcentral.
GACCACCCAGGAGCUUGGCUGCGCCUGCUGCAGUCUGCGUUUCUGAUAAAUUGAAACCAGUUUUAAUUCUUCUGCCCGGGAGACCUAACCGCCGAAUGCGUUCGGAGCUGUACUGGAACCCAAGGAGAUGUUCACAAGGAAGAUGGAAAGUAAGCUGUGUAACAUCAGCAUUGGGAGCAAGAGCCACAAACCUCAUUUUCAAGUUGGGAAGAAACUCAGGACCCGAGAAGCUACAGGAUUCAGCCCAGUCACAGAGCUUGGAAAAACUCGGUUCUUGCGACACGACGAGGAAAGAUUAGGCACGGAGACACUUUGAAGGGAACGGGAGGGGCCGACUCCUCCCCAUGCAAACAGCGGCAGCUUCCCGAGGCCCCACCGCUUCCUCCCAGCGCGUAGGCCAAUGGGAGAUUUCUCCAGCCAUGUCAAAUGGGGAAAUGAGUAUGGAGAAUUUUGAGGGGAAGGACAUUGAGGCGGAAGGACACUGAAUUUAGGGGCAAGGCUGGGCUGGACAUCCCAUAUGUCAAUUUAAUCCACA